GCUCCCUUCGUCUAGCGGUCAGGACGUCGGCCUCUCACGCCGAAAACAGGGGUUCGAUUCCCCUAGGGAGCGCCA
RNAcentral lists this transfer RNA (75 nucleotides) under Gammaproteobacteria bacterium. RNAcentral describes it as "tRNA-Glu". It matches the Rfam family "tRNA". Rfam says of the family: Transfer RNA (tRNA) molecules are approximately 80 nucleotides in length. Their secondary structure includes four short double-helical elements and three loops (D, anti-codon, and T loops). Lineage: Bacteria; Pseudomonadati; Pseudomonadota; Gammaproteobacteria. RNAcentral also lists the same sequence under 2 other names. The record is from RNAcentral.